RNAcentral lists this ribosomal RNA (497 nucleotides) under uncultured bacterium. RNAcentral describes it as "partial 16S ribosomal RNA". It matches the Rfam family "Bacterial small subunit ribosomal RNA", at positions 28 to 507 of the family's 1533-position model. The record is from RNAcentral.
GAUGAACGCUGGCGGCGUGCUUAAUACAUGCAAGUCGAGCGGACAGAUGAGGAUCUUGCGCCUCUCACGUUAGCGGCGGACGGGUGAGUAACACGUGGAUACCCUACCUAUCAGACUGGUAUAACUUCGGGAAACCGGAGCUAAUCCCGUAUGAUAUACUGAACCGCGGGGUUCAAUGGUGAAAUACGGUGUUGCUGUCAGUUAUCGAUGCUUCCGGGCUGCUUUAGCUGGUUGUUAGGGUAACGGCUUACCAAGGCAACGAUGCGUAGCCGACGUGAGAGGGGGAUCGGCCGCACUGGAACUGAGACACCGUCCAGAGUCCUACGGGAGGCCGCAGUAGGGAAUGGGCGGCAAUGGGCGAAAGCCUGACGGAGCAAGGCCACGUGAGUGAUGAAGGUCUUCGGAUCGUAAAACUCUGUUAUUAGGGAAGAACAAAUGUGUAAGUAACUAUGCACGUCUUGACGGUAACUAAUAAGAAAGCCACGGCUAACUACGUG